CGGCCGCACACGUGGGCCCGGCGCCGCCCCCCGCGGCCCACCCCCGGCCGCCCCCGCCGGGAGGGAGCCGGGAUAAGUGGCGGCGCGGACGCCGCGCCCUGUCUCCGGAGCGGCGGCGCGCAGCUCUCGGUCCCAGCCGCAGACGAGGACUCGGCGCUCGUGGCCGCACCUGAAGAUCCUUUCAGAAUGCCAGAGGAACGUCCCCCCAGGCUGACCCCGCAGAACGUUCCCUACCAGGACCUCCCUCACCUGGUCAACGCUGACGGGCAGCACCUCUUCUGCCGGUACUGGAGACCCUCGAGCGCGCCCAGGGCCCUGGUGUUCGUGUCCCACGGAGCCGGCGAGCACUGCGGCCGCUACGACGAGCUGGCACAGAUGCUGGUGGGGCUGGGCCUGCUGGUCUUCGCCCACGACCACGUUGGCCACGGGCAGAGCGAGGGCGAGAGGAUGGUGGUGUCCGACUUCCACGUCUUCAUCCGGGAUGUGCUCCAGCACGUGGACGCCGUGCAGAAGGACCACCCGGGGCUGCCCGUCUUCCUCCUGGGCCACUCCAUGGGCGGCGCGAUCUGCAUCCUCACGGCCGCGGAGAGGCCGGGCCACUUCUCGGGCAUGGUUCUCAUUUCCCCGCUGGUCGUCGCCAAUCCAGACUCGGCGACACUUUUCAAGGUCUUUGCUGCAAAAGUUCUGAACCUCGUCCUGCCAAACAUGUCCCUGGGCCGGAUCGACUCCAGUGUGCUCUCGAGGAAUAAGACGGAGCUCCUGGCACUACCGUCCUGGAGACAGAGCAGCCGCCCCUCGGCCUCUUCUGCGUCUCCUCGGAUUUCCAGCCCCACCGACAUUCUGAACGUUUCACCCUCGACCACGGCUUCCUCAGAACGCCGUGAGGCCCUCCCACUCGGAAAAGCCAUGCAUGUUCCACAUAGUUGUCCGGCCAAGGCCGCCAGCAUGGGAUGCAAGGAGGAGGGGCCGUGGGGCACUCCCGGCACCCACAAACCUCCGACUGCUCACGGCAGGGGCCCCCAGCCCCCCUCCAGCUCUUCCGCCGGGAGCACCCCCAGUCCUGUGCCGAGGCAGUCUCCCUUCCAGAACCCAGUCUGUGUUCUCUGUUGCUGCACCAGGACGCCCUCCAAGUGCCUCCUGGCUGGUUGGCACGCACGCUGGCCGGCCGUAUGGUGGACAUCUACAACACGGACCCCCUGGUCUGCCGGGCGGGGCUCAAAGUCUGCUUCGGCAUCCAGCUGCUCAACGCGGUGUCGCGGGUGGAGCGGGCGCUGCCCAAGCUGACGCUGCCUUUCCUGCUGCUGCAGGGCUCCGCCGACCGCCUCUGCGAUAGCAGGGGCGCCUACCUGCUCAUGGAGUCGGCCAAGAGCCAGGACAAGACGCUCAAGAUUUACGAAGGUGCCUACCACAUCCUCCACAAAGAGCUUCCCGAGGUGACCAGCUCUGUCUUCCGGGAGAUAAACACGUGGGUCUCGCAAAGGACAGCGGUGGAGGGAACGGGGUGCCCGCCCUGAGCCCCCCGGCCAGCUGCGGGGCCGCUGUCGGGAAGCGGGCAGAGGAAGGGCAGGGGCUGGCUUCUCAGACGUGGCCGAGAAACACACACACACACCCCCAGAUUGGAGGAAUCCCUAGCACAACUGACUCAGACAGUCUUGUCACCUGUCAGGCUGUCCACCACUGGAUCUGCCUUAAACGGUGGACGCUUUAUGCAAAAACUGGAGGUCAGGGCACUUUCCAGAGAAGUGCUGGAAGGCCUGAGGCCACACGGAGCCCUGCCCCACCUCUCCCGCCCUGCAGGGUCCCAGGAACCCCCCCCAACCCCAGCAAUAAUUGGAGGGCGCCCUCCCGCCGCCCUGCACCCUGCCUGUGCCCCUCUGGCCAUGGGACAUGGGGCAGGUCCACUGUCCUGGCUGACUUGCGUGCCUGUGGAGGCCCGGAAGUGCCUGCGGGCCCACCCUGGCCCGAGUCAGCUGUGAGCCCUGGGGGCUGGGCUGGGCCAGGGGAGGGGGGCCUGGGCGUGGGAAGGGGACCACCCCCCGCCCCGCUCCCGGGCGUGUGGGGGCGGCCGCUGCUCCUUGAGGGCUCACCCGACGUUUGGAGGGCCGCUGUGCUGGACGUCUGUUCAGACGCGGAGGCUGUGGGAGGGAAGCAGGGGUCUUGACGGCGCUGGGCUGGAGCCGGUCCCAGGUGGUGCCCCGCCCGAGGCCCCGCCCAAGGCCCCAGCAGGAAGGGCGAUCGGGGCCCCUGCAGCCACCCCUUACUGGUGCCCUGCCCGCAUCCCCCACCCCUUGGCCCUCCCUGCUCUGGCCGGCACGGUAAUCGGGGGCCCCCGCUGCCCAGGGGGUGCUUUCGCUAUCCGUGUGAGCGUGGUGGGGGCGCUGCAACCUGGGAGGGGAAGGCGUGGCCCCUGGACCUGGGGCUGGGUGGAGCUCGGCCCAGUCCUCCAGAAGCAGGAGCCGCUGCCCCGCUGCGUCCUGCUCUUCUGGGGAGGUCCCCCGCCUCCAUUCCAGGGCCCCCAGCGCACGCUGAGCCAGAGUGGGCCCCCUGGCGAAGGAGCCACGUGGGCUCGUGGGGGGACCGGCCAGGUCCCCAUGGAGAGUGGCUUCAUUGACCUGUUUCCCUUUGGAGGAGGAAAAAGAAUGUAGAAAAUGCCGUGGGGGCUCCACCCGUGGUCCUCCGGGGCCAAGGAGCCGUAGAGAUGCCACGCACCAGCCCACACCCACCCACCGCCACGCCGCGUAUGGAAAUGUCACCACGGCGGGCCGCUUCCCAAGCCCAACGCCGGGCGGGCACGUGGUCCGACCAGGAGUCUUUCAACGCAUGGACUUAUUUUCUUCAAAAGCUUUCAGAGAUGCACAUUCAGCCGUCUUCAGCGAUCUGGUCAAAGAAUCGCCCAUAUUUGAAAGAUGUUCCUCGGAUCGGGGACUGUUUUCCUCACCGGGUGGGCCGGGGCACGCCCUCCACGGUCAGGGUGCGGGCAGCCGUGUCUGGGCCCCGUCCUGGCAGUACCAGCGAGUGCUGAAUCAGGGUUGCCUGCCAUGCUGAACCCAGAGCCCCUGGGCCGCACCCGCCCGGCCCUCAGUGGUGCAGGGGAGCCGGGUGUGCAUAGGCGGCAAGGCCGCACAGGCCUGGGCCUGAGGCGGGCAGAGCACUGAGGCCAGGGAGGGGCGGGCGGCCGAGCCCGUGUGGACCCAUCACUCAGGCUGCCUGGGCCAUGGGAGGUGGUUCUGUGCGGACGGGCUUUCCAGAAGAUGCUGCCCACGGCUACCGGGGGUCCUGGCCCCCUGGGCCCUCUCUUGCUGGGGACGGGGUGCUGACCCUGGCAUGCCCUUGGCCCUGGUGCUCGGAGCCCCCCGCAGGCCCCGUCCCCCUCGCCGACUGCUGACUCCCCACAUUGGACCACAGCGACUUCCCACGCAAUUUCCUGGUUUGCUGUCAUGCCCACGGCUCAGCCGCCUCCCUCCACGUCCGCUGUCAGUGGGGCCCUGUGUGUCAGGUAACAGAUAAUGCGGGACCGACACAGCUAACCCUAAUAAACCAUGGUUUCUGCCGCC
Molecule: RNA transcript, 3554 nt
Organism: Bubalus bubalis (water buffalo)
Lineage: Eukaryota; Metazoa; Chordata; Mammalia; Artiodactyla; Bovidae
Gene: MGLL
Gene name: monoglyceride lipase
Exons: 9
Source: RefSeq, a predicted model, not a curated record